GACGAACGCUGGCGGCGUGCUUAACACAUGCAAGUCGAACGGAAAGGCCCUGCUUUUGUGGGGUGCUCGAGUGGCGAACGGGUGAGUAACACGUGAGUAACCUGCUCUUGACUUUGGGAUAACUUCAGGAAACUGGGGCUAAUACCGUAUAGGAGCUCCUGCUGCAUGGUGGGGGUUGGAAAGUUUCGGCGGGUGGGGAUGGACUCGCGGCUUAUCAGCUUGUUGGUGGGGUAGUGGCUUACCAAGGCUUUGACGGGUAGCCGGCCUGAGAGGGUGACCGGCCACAUUGGGACUGAGAUACGGCCCAGACUCCUACGGGAGGCAGCAGUGGGGAAUAUUGCACAAUGGGCGGAAGCCUGAUGCAGCAACGCCGCGUGCGGGAUGACGGCCUUCGGGUUGUAAACCGCUUUCGCCUGUGACGAAGCGUGAGUGACGGUAAUGGGUAAAGAAGCACCGGCUAACUACGUG
This 468-nucleotide ribosomal RNA is filed under the name uncultured bacterium. Its description in RNAcentral is "partial 16S ribosomal RNA". It matches the Rfam family "Bacterial small subunit ribosomal RNA", at positions 28 to 507 of the family's 1533-position model. The record is from RNAcentral.